GAUGAACGCUGACAGAAUGCUUAACACAUGCAAGUCUACUUGAAUUUGGGUUUUUAACUUAGGUUUGGGUGGCGGACGGGUGAGUAACGCGUAAAGAACUUGCCUCACAGCUAGGGACAACAUUUAGAAAUGAAUGCUAAUACCUAAUAUUAUGAUAAUAGGGCAUCCUAUAAUUAUGAAAGCUAUAUGCGCUGUGAGAGAGCUUUGGGUCCUAUUAGCUAGUUGGUAAGGUAAAGGCUUACCAAGGCGAUGAUAGGUAGCCGGCCUGAGAGGGUGGACGGCCACAAGGGGACUGAGAUACGGCCCUUACUCCUACGGGAGGCAGCAGUGGGGAAUAUUGGACAAUGGAGGAAACUCUGAUCCAGCAAUUCUGUGUGUGUGAAGAAGGUCUUCGGAUUGUAAAACACUUUUAGUUGGGAAGAAACAAAUGACGGUACCAAC
This 441-nucleotide ribosomal RNA is filed under the name Fusobacteria bacterium oral taxon 220. RNAcentral's name for it is "bacterial SSU rRNA". It matches the Rfam family "Bacterial small subunit ribosomal RNA", at positions 28 to 482 of the family's 1533-position model. The record is from RNAcentral. Lineage: Bacteria; Fusobacteriati; Fusobacteriota.